This 2841-nucleotide ribosomal RNA is filed under the name Vibrio parahaemolyticus. Its description in RNAcentral is "partial 23S ribosomal RNA". It matches the Rfam family "Bacterial large subunit ribosomal RNA". The record is from RNAcentral. Lineage: Bacteria; Pseudomonadati; Pseudomonadota; Gammaproteobacteria; Vibrionales; Vibrionaceae.
CGAUAAGCCCAGAUUAGGUAGUAACAACCAUUUGAGUCUGGGAUUUCUGAAUGGGGAAACCCACGUGCAUAAGCACGUAUCCUUACCUGAAUACAUAGGGUAAGGAGGCGAACCGGGGGAACUGAAACAUCUAAGUACCCCGAGGAAAAGAAAUCAACCGAGAUUCCGAAAGUAGCGGCGAGCGAAAUUGGACUAGCCCUUAAGCUUUACACGCGUUAGACGAACGGUCUGGAAAGUCCGACGAUACAGGGUGAUAGUCCCGUAGUUGACGACGUGUGUUCAGUGAAAUCGAGUAGGGCGGGACACGUGAUAUCCUGUCUGAAUAUGGGGGGACCAUCCUCCAAGGCUAAAUACUACUGACUGACCGAUAGUGAACCAGUACCGUGAGGGAAAGGCGAAAAGAACCCCUGUGAGGGGAGUGAAAUAGAACCUGAAACCGUGUACGUACAAGCAGUAGGAGCAGGCUUUGUCCUGUGACUGCGUACCUUUUGUAUAAUGGGUCAGCGACUUAUAUUCAGUGGCAAGGUUAACCAUCUAGGGGAGCCGUAGGGAAACCGAGUCUUAACUGGGCGUUCAGUCUCUGGAUAUAGACCCGAAACCAGGUGAUCUAGCCAUGGGCAGGUUGAAGGUUGAGUAACAUCAACUGGAGGACCGAACCGACUAAUGUUGAAAAAUUAGCGGAUGACUUGUGGCUAGGGGUGAAAGGCCAAUCAAACCUGGAGAUAGCUGGUUCUCCCCGAAAGCUAUUUAGGUAGCGCCUCGGACGAAUACUACUGGGGGUAGAGCACUGUUAAGGCUAGGGGGUCAUCCCGACUUACCAACCCUUUGCAAACUCCGAAUACCAGUAAGUACUAUCCGGGAGACACACGGCGGGUGCUAACGUCCGUCGUGGAGAGGGAAACAACCCAGACCGCCAGCUAAGGUCCCAAAUUACUACUAAGUGGGAAACGAUGUGGGAAGGCUCAGACAGCCAGGAUGUUGGCUUAGAAGCAGCCAUCAUUUAAAGAAAGCGUAAUAGCUCACUGGUCGAGUCGGCCUGCGCGGAAGAUGUAACGGGGCUAAGUAGUAAACCGAAGCUGCGGCAAUGUGCUUUUGCACAUUGGGUAGGGGAGCGUUCUGUAAGCGGUUGAAGGUGUGUGGUAACGCAUGCUGGACGUAUCAGAAGUGCGAAUGCUGACAUGAGUAACGAUAAAGGGGGUGAAAAACCUCCUCGCCGGAAGACCAAGGGUUCCUGUCCAACGUUAAUCGGGGCAGGGUAAGUCGACCCCUAAGGCGAGGCCGAAAGGCGUAGUCGAUGGGAAACGGGUUAAUAUUCCCGUACUUCUUACAAUUGCGAUGGGGGGACGGAGAAGGCUAGGUGGGCCUGGCGACGGUUGUCCAGGUUCAAGUGCGUAGGCUUAAGAGUUAGGUAAAUCCGGCUCUUUUUAAGGCUGAGACACGACGUCGAGCAUCUACGGAUGUGAAGUCAUUGAUGCCAUGCUUCCAGGAAAAGCCUCUAAGCUUCAGAUUGUAAGGAAUCGUACCCCAAACCGACACAGGUGGUCGGGUAGAGAAUACCAAGGCGCUUGAGAGAACUCGGGUGAAGGAACUAGGCAAAAUGGUACCGUAACUUCGGGAGAAGGUACGCUCUCGACGGUGAAGUCCCUCGCGGAUGGAGCUAUUGAGAGUCGCAGAUACCAGGUGGCUGCAACUGUUUAUUAAAAACACAGCACUGUGCAAAAUCGUAAGAUGACGUAUACGGUGUGACGCCUGCCCGGUGCCGGAAGGUUAAUUGAUGGGGUUAGACUUCGGUCGAAGCUCUUGAUCGAAGCCCCGGUAAACGGCGGCCGUAACUAUAACGGUCCUAAGGUAGCGAAAUUCCUUGUCGGGUAAGUUCCGACCUGCACGAAUGGCGUAAUGAUGGCCACGCUGUCUCCACCCGAGACUCAGUGAAAUUGAAAUCGCUGUGAAGAUGCAGUGUACCCGCGGCUAGACGGAAAGACCCCGUGAACCUUUACUACAGCUUGGCACUGAACAUUGACCCUACAUGUGUAGGAUAGGUGGGAGGCUUUGAAGCACGUACGCCAGUAUGUGUGGAGCCGUCCUUGAAAUACCACCCUUGUAGUGUUGAUGUUCUAACGUCGACCCCUUAUCGGGGUUGCGGACAGUGCCUGGUGGGUAGUUUGACUGGGGCGGUCUCCUCCCAAAGAGUAACGGAGGAGCACGAAGGUGGGCUAAUCACGGUUGGACAUCGUGAGGUUAGUGCAAUGGCAUAAGCCCGCUUGACUGCGAGAAUGACAAUUCGAGCAGGUGCGAAAGCAGGUCAUAGUGAUCCGGUGGUUCUGAAUGGAAGGGCCAUCGCUCAACGGAUAAAAGGUACUCCGGGGAUAACAGGCUGAUACCGCCCAAGAGUUCAUAUCGACGGCGGUGUUUGGCACCUCGAUGUCGGCUCAUCACAUCCUGGGGCUGAAGUCGGUCCCAAGGGUAUGGCUGUUCGCCAUUUAAAGUGGUACGCGAGCUGGGUUUAGAACGUCGUGAGACAGUUCGGUCCCUAUCUGCCGUGGGCGUUGGAAGAUUGAAGGGGGCUGCUCCUAGUACGAGAGGACCGGAGUGGACGAACCUCUGGUGUUCGGGUUGUGUCGCCAGACGCAUUGCCCGGUAGCUAAGUUCGGAAUCGAUAACCGCUGAAAGCAUCUAAGCGGGAAGCGAGCCCUGAGAUGAGUCUUCCCUGAUACUUUAAGUAUCCUAAAGGGUUGUCGGAGACUACGACGUUGAUAGGUCAGGUGUGUAAGUGCUGUGAGGCAUUGAGCUAACUGAUACUAAUUGCCCGUGAGGCUUAACCAUACAACACCCAAGGGGUUU